GAACCCCCUUUUACUUUGCCAAUUGGACUUAUGUUUUCAUUGGUCAUUCAAAUCCUUUUAAAACUCAGGCAAACUGAGUGUCUGUCCUGUAUUCUGUCAGAAGAAACAAAC
RNAcentral lists this small nucleolar RNA (111 nucleotides) under Castor canadensis (American beaver). RNAcentral describes it as "Small nucleolar RNA SNORA27 (ENSCCNG00000017914.1)". It matches the Rfam family "Small nucleolar RNA SNORA27". Rfam says of the family: ACA27 is a member of the H/ACA class of snoRNA that guide the sites of modification of uridines to pseudouridines. The record is from Rfam by way of RNAcentral. Lineage: Eukaryota; Metazoa; Chordata; Mammalia; Rodentia; Castoridae.